GGAGAGACAAGCAGAGUGUGCACACUAUUCAUUCAAACUGACAGAGGCUGUGUGUGUGUGUGUGUGUGUGUGUGUCCCGGUUUGCACUUCCCACUGCUCCACAGUGUCUCUCGAUCUGUCUCUCUCUCUCCUCCCUCACUCCCUCACUCCCUCUCUUUCUCUCUCUCCAGACAGUCUGCAGUUUACAGCAGCAGGAAGGAGACGCCGAGCAGCCACUGGAGAGGAAGAAAGAAAGAAAGAAAGAAAGAAAGACACAGAGAGAAAGAUUUGUGACAAAUGAGAGACAAGGAGAAAAGGAAGUGAGAGAGAGAGAGAGCGAGGAGGAAGGAAGUGAUGAAAAGUAGGGAUUUUGAAGAUGAGUAAAAGAUGAGAGGAUGAGGGAAAGACAGACAGAGAGCGGUGGCUUGGCUGUUCAAUGGGAGGGGUGCAAACAGAGGUGUAGAGACAGAGGAAUGCAGAGACAGGGACGGCGACACUGCUGCUCCUGCAGACGAGGAUUUUGGAGUGAAGCCGGUGAUGGUUACACGAGCUGACAACCGAGCAUUUCCAUUAACCAGAGCGGAGAUGUCCGAUAAUUACGCAGAAAUGACAGAAACGACAGAAACGGGCAAUAAAAGACGGCAGAACCGAAGCCAAGCAAAUAUUUGUAAGUAUAUAUGGUAAGGUUUAUUUCCUAUUUUAAUUUUAAUGAAGUAAUGGGUAAAAUCCUGCAGGUAUAGCUGGGCUUUACAUGAUCACAUGAAAUAUCAAACCUGAGUUUGUUUGCUGCUGUAAGACAGGCGUGUUUGAGCAUGUCUGAACCAAGGAUCUUCAUUCUUCAAUAAAAAUAAUCAUAAUAUAUAAUAACCGUGAGGUAGACAAAUGUUUUGACUGCCUUUCAAGGUUGAACAUGUCCCUCAGACUGCCUUUUAAACUUAAUACCAAUGAAGAAUAUACUCAGGCUUUGAUACCACUAGAUGAGUUACCUGCUAACUAAAAAAGCAAAAGGAUGAUUUAUUAAAACCCAUAUCCUGAACUUAAAAUUCAAAUCUAUCAGUGAAUGAUGUUAAUGUUAUGCACUCAGCAAGUUGUGUUAUUAAAUAAAAACACGUCACACUUUCUUCUGUUAUUGUCCUCAUUAUGAUGAAUUAUUAUUAUUAUUAUUCACUUUCACUGAAUAA
Molecule: long non-coding RNA, 1160 nt
Organism: Solea solea (common sole)
Lineage: Eukaryota; Metazoa; Chordata; Actinopteri; Pleuronectiformes; Soleidae
Exons: 3
Source: RefSeq, a predicted model, not a curated record